ACGGCCAAGGUGCUCCUUGGCCUCUCCAAACUCUCCUCCUGCACCCCAUCUUCCCCAGUUUCCCCCGUUACCCCCACCCCCCACC
Non-coding RNA from Otolemur garnettii (small-eared galago), 85 nucleotides. Lineage: Eukaryota; Metazoa; Chordata; Mammalia; Primates; Galagidae. The record is from Rfam.